GACGAACGCUGGCGGCGUGCUUAACACAUGCAAGUCGAACGGUGAAAGAAGAGCUUGCUCUUCUGGAUCAGUGGCGAACGGGUGAGUAACACGUGAGUAACCUGCCCCAGACUCUGGAAUAAGCGCUGGAAACGGCGUCUAAUACCGGAUACGAGACAGAGCUGCAUGGCUACUGUCUGGAAAGUUUUUCGGUCUGGGAUGGACUCGCGGCCUAUCAGCUUGUUGGUGAGGUAACGGCUCACCAAGGCAACGACGGGUAGCCGGCCUGAGAGGGCGACCGGCCACCCGGGGCGUGAGACAGGGCCAAGGCUCCCACGGGGGGCAGGGGGGGGGAAUAUUGCACAAUGGGAGAAGGCCAAAGGCAGGGACGCCGCGGGGGGGAAGCCGGCUUUGGGGUAGAAAACCUUUUUCGAAGGGGAAAAAGCGAAAGUAGCGGAACCUGAAGAAAGAGCCCCGGCUAACUGCGU
Molecule: ribosomal RNA, 467 nt
Filed under: uncultured bacterium
Lineage: Bacteria
Description: partial 16S ribosomal RNA
Rfam family: Bacterial small subunit ribosomal RNA
Source: RNAcentral